GCUGGGCGUGGUGGUGCAUGCCUGUAAUCCCAGCAACUGGGGAGGUUGAGGCAGGAGGAUCCAGAGUUCAAAGCCACCCUCAGCAAUUUAGUGAGGCCCUAAACAACUUAGCAAGAUCAUGUCUCAA
RNAcentral lists this small RNA (127 nucleotides) under Marmota monax (woodchuck). Lineage: Eukaryota; Metazoa; Chordata; Mammalia; Rodentia; Sciuridae. The record is from RNAcentral.